ACUCAAAUGAAUAGACGGGGGCCCGCACAAGCGGUGGAGCAUGUGGUUUAAUUCGAUGCAACGCGAAGAACCUUACCUACUCUUGACAUGCUAGGAAUCUUGUAGAGAUAUGAGAGUGCCUUCGGGAACCUAGACACAGGUGCUGCAUGGCUGUCGUCAGCUCGUGUUGUGAGAUGUUGGGUUAAGUCCCGUAACGAGCGCAACCCUUGUCCACAGUUGCCAUCAUUAAGUUGGGGACUCUGUGGAGACUGCCGGUGACAAACCGGAGGAAGGCGGGGACGAUGUCAAGUCAUCAUGGCCUUUAUGAGUAGGGCUACACACGUGCUACAAUGGGCGGUACAAAGGGAAGCGAAGCGGUGACGUGAAGCAAAUCCCAGAAAGCCGUUCGUAGUCCGGAUUGAAGUCUGCAACUCGACUUCAUGAAGUUGGAAUCGCUAGUAAUCGUGAAUCAGAACGUCACGGUGAAUACGUUCCCGGGCCUUGCACACACCGCCCGU
Molecule: ribosomal RNA, 497 nt
Filed under: uncultured bacterium
Lineage: Bacteria
Description: partial 16S ribosomal RNA
Rfam family: Bacterial small subunit ribosomal RNA
Source: RNAcentral